ACUUAUUUGGUGGAAUUGGUAGACACGUCAGACUUAAAAUCUGAUUCUAUAAUUGGAGUAUCGGUUCAAGUCCGAUAAUAAGUA
RNAcentral lists this transfer RNA (84 nucleotides) under Guinardia striata. RNAcentral describes it as "tRNA-Leu". It matches the Rfam family "tRNA". From Rfam's summary of the family: Transfer RNA (tRNA) molecules are approximately 80 nucleotides in length. Their secondary structure includes four short double-helical elements and three loops (D, anti-codon, and T loops). Further hydrogen bonds mediate the characteristic L-shaped molecular structure. tRNAs have two regions of fundamental functional importance: the anti-codon, which is responsible for specific mRNA codon recognition, and the 3' end, to which the tRNAs corresponding amino acid is attached (by aminoacyl-tRNA synthetases). tRNAs cope with the degeneracy of the genetic code in two manners: having more than one tRNA (with a specific anti-codon) for a particular amino acid; and 'wobble' base-pairing, i.e. permitting non-standard base-pairing at the 3rd anti-codon position. Lineage: Eukaryota; Bacillariophyta; Coscinodiscophyceae; Rhizosoleniales; Rhizosoleniaceae. The record is from RNAcentral.